RNAcentral lists this long non-coding RNA (266 nucleotides) under Phoenix dactylifera (date palm). Its description in RNAcentral is "long non-coding RNA (PDAC_LNC019848)". The record is from RNAcentral. Lineage: Eukaryota; Viridiplantae; Streptophyta; Magnoliopsida; Arecales; Arecaceae.
UCAAAUUAUAUCAAUGUAACAAGUAUUAUAUUAGAUAAAUGAGAUGUAAAGUUAUAAUGUUAUAUUACAUAACGUACUCAAUCUAUUACAAUGUUAUAUUACACAAUUGAGACAUAAAGUUGCUUGCUAUGUUAUACAACAUGCUCUAAUUUCUCAUGCUGGGUAACCUCUGCUCGUACCAUGCCCAUAACCUAUCAUAGGUAAUACAGUGGCCAUUAAACAAAAUAUGUGCUGCAACCCAGCUCCUAUACAAUGAGAGAUCCUUA